CCUAACUGAUGAACAGAGGCCAAAGUAGUCAACAUAUGUGUGUUGAUUAUCAGUGUAUUGGUGCUGCAGGGCAAUGCCUAGGAAUUUAUGACAGUGUUAUCAUAUAAAUCACCUUUAUUUUAACAUUUCCAUCAUUUUAAUGAACUGAUAAAGUCUCUUGGAUGAAUGGAAAAACACGACUACAUAAAUCCAACUUAUUACCUCUAGAUUUUCAAUUCUCUGAUGACUGAAACGACAAAGACACACAGUGGUGCUAUUAAUUGCUUUAUUUUCUGACAAUAAUGCUUUAUACCGUAUGCUUGUUGUUAAUAGAGGAUGGGAAAAGAGCUUCCUGUAAAGCCUGAGAAGAGGCCCAGACUGAAGAAAAUGUCACAGAAAAGAAGAAACCUGGCCAGAGAUACUUCCAGUGCAUUUAUGUCCCGGGCAAAAAUGCACAAUACCCUCUACGACCUUUCACCCCAGCCAUGUCCCCCACCAUGUUGUCCCCUGCACUCCGGUCAAUGCUGGAGCAGAGAGCAGCCAGAGCGUCGGGACAAUAGGACGACAACUUCUCACCUCAUUUAAUCAACAGCACUGCAUCUCCCAGUCCAGCAGGGGGAGAUGUUUGAAUCUGUGGCAUCUUCGAAUAGAGAAGACAACCACAGACUCACAGAGAAAAGUGGACAGAACUAUUUCGUCUUUAAUUUAUUGAUGUAUUUUUUUUUUAAGUGGUUGAGCUCCUGGGGUUGAUAUUUCACAUUUUCCUUACUUGUUUAUGCUUUCUGUGUUUUGCCUCCACUACUUGCCACUGCCAUGCCUCGCUUGUGUCUUGGACAGAAAAUUCUGGCACCAUUUUGUGAAUAAUUUUAUAGUUAUAACAGCUAUAAUGUACAGAAUGAACAUGUUUAUAAUUUAGGAUGGGAUAAAGGGUCACAACUUUGCAUGUCAGUUUUUUGUUUUUCUCUCCACAACACCUUCUUUAAAAUGUAUUGCUAAUUUAAAGCAGUUUAAAUUUAGCUUAACUUUUAAAGGAACUUAUUUUCAAAUUCAGUACUAUUUGGAAUAUGGAAAAUAUCUUGCAUUGAAAUGUUAAUGGGGAAGUUUACUUUAUUAAAUUCUGAAAACAAAGAACUCCGAUUGAAUUUUAAUGGCAUUAAACAUCACUUCAAAUGGCAUGUUCUAUUGUUUUACUACACAAACCAUUAAAUCAAUGAAAAAUUUUGUAUUCAAACCCUAAUAUCAAAUUUCAUAACAUAAAAGAACUCUGGGUUGACAAGUUUCCACUGUGAUCUUUUAUUUGUCCCACCUUUUGAUUUUAAAACGUCAGAUUUUACUAUCUUGUAGCCUUGAAUUCCCUUGCCACUGCUUGUUUUUUCUGCUUUGCCACGUCUGCAACAGAUUAGCAUGCAAAUGUUGGAGGGUCAAAUCCCAGGGGCUCCCACAUUGAUCCCAGCUGCAUCCCUGUCUCUGAUGUGUCUCAUCAAUACAUAGGUGCAUGCUGAUGAGCGAUGAAACAUUCUCUUAGACGUGUCAGACUGCAUCUUGGCCAGUUCACCUUCACAGGUGAUGUUUAUUGCCAAUUAAAGCUACUUCUGUUAUUUUUGAUUAAAAAGAUAAAGAGGUAAAAGACAAGAUACAUGUAGAUACUUUAUAUACCGCACUGCACUGUGUGACACCAAUCAAAAUAUGGAUUAUAGGAACUAUAAAGGUUUACUUAGAUCCAGGAGGCACUGAAAAGACUUUUAUAGGCUUAUAAACAUAAACUCAGUGUAGCGUAGCUGCAAUACACAUACAUUUUUAAUAUGUAUGCAAAACCAUUAUGUUAAUGCCAGGUGUAAAUUCAGUCAAGAUUCUUGUGUGUGACCUGUAGGGAAUCAGCCUCCUCAGUAUGUUUUUAUAUUUAAUAAUACAUUAUUGCCUGACAAUACCAUUUAACGAGCAGGAUUGUCUGGAUUUUUUUCUCAAAAGCCAGAGAUUGCAAGAUUGUUAAAAAAAGAAAUGCAAUUCAUGGACAGUCAGUGUCUUCUAUUUUUGUUUUAUUCAUCCCAAAAAAUGUCAAACUACUUACGUUGACUCUGUCUAAGUCACAAAUAUCAGAUGUUUUAAGUCAACAUGUUCAGAGACAGGGAGUCGGUGCAGGAUAAGUUUGAUGUGACCAACUCAUGAGACGCUGUGAUGUUUGCUACAGUGAAUGAAUGUCAUUUGUGUUACUCAUCAGCGUAUUAAGUCUGAUACAUUGUCAUAUUUUCAUUUACCUCACUCAUUCAUAGCUCUGGUUUUGGGCCUCAGCAACAAGGCUGCCUUGUUGGUGCUACAAAACCUUUGCUGAGGAUUACCAGCAGUUUGCUGUUGUCGUCUUACCAAAUGGAAACCUGAUGCUAAGAGAACCAAAAGGUUUUUUUUUUUUUUUUUUUUUACAACAGGCAUAAUCCUGGGAUUCAAACACACAUGUGCCCAGAGUCUGCUGUAAUGUUCACUUGAUAUUAAGAGUUCAUUCAUUCUCAGCAGUAGCGGUAAUCUACUAAGUGAUAUUAUUUCAUUCAUGUUUGUAACACCAGUUUUGUCAGUUUCACUCUUUAAGUAACAUGAUGAAGCAGUGCAAGUCACUCAUACGUUGUAAUUUUAACCUAGUAAAACCUGGUGAACUGACUUACACCAGCUAUUGAACUGUAUACUGAAGUUUGAGGUAUGUCAGUUGUUAGUCUUUGUUGUGUUGCAGAUCUAUACACAACUUUACAGGGUUACCCUCAAAAAGUCAAACAGAAAGUGAAGUACAUUAUAGAGGUGAUGCAAAUCUAUAAAGAUGUGAGUGCAAACAAAAACAUGCAAAUUCCAUCUGUGCAACCUGAGGUGAAGAAGAAUCUUAUCCUUCAGCUGUAUGUCCCUGUUACGAGAGAAAUAGCAGAUAACUGAAGUUACUAUAGAGUCCUGACUGAAAUGAUGUUUACAGAGCUGCCUUUGUGUUUGUUGUCUGAUCAAAUCUCAGCUAGAUGUACUGAAAAUGUCAACCACGGUUCAGAUUUUUGAGUGUGAACUUUGGGUUGAAAAGUCCCAACUGAAAUGAGGUUAAGGCAGUUCUGGGUUUUCUGUUGCCGUGCAGGGUUUAGGUCAGCUGGCCUGAGAAAUACAAAUAUGAAGAGUUGUUUUAUGUCCAAAUGAGAUCUGACAACCAUUAGCAGUAGCAGCCUGCUGAGUGUAUAUGGAUACAGGAGUGACCUUUAAAACACACUUUAAAAUGUGGUGUUCAGGUGUGAAAGAGAUACUGUAGGUGGUUGUUUUUUAAAAGAAUCCUAUUCCAGCAGGGAGAUACAGCAGUAGUGUGGUUGUGCUGUCUGGAGGCCAUGAAGAUGUAUGAAAUUAACAGUCAGUAAUUGCAGGAUACAGCUGUAGCUGUAUGCUGUAAUUAUGUUUUUAAGUAUUAUUAGCAGUGAUUUAAUGUGACUUGAAGAGGGCUAUCUAUUAUCACAUGUAAACAAUGCAAACUAAAAGGAACAUGGUGCAAUCAGAGAUCAAUCUAAUAUGAUGUAAGUACAAAUUUUAUACAUAUUCAUGUGGACUGAAAGAUGGGAAACUGGGUUUAGCCUUAACUACUGUAUGUCUCUGAUUACAUGUUUUAAAUACGUGUUUGGAUGAUGCUGUUAAGAGCAAGUGAUCUGCUUUUACUUAUGCAUGCUUUGCUGAAAACUACCGUGUGACACUGUUAUCACUGUGUUUUACUUUGAUGUCUUGUCUACUUUUCUUUCAUUCUUUGAUUCUUCUUUGGUCAGUAGUUAUCUGAAACCACAAUUGCACAAAGACCCUGUCAUAGGUAUUGAUCUGCGUCUUCCGAGCAGAAAAAUGUUGAAUUGGUUUUCCAGUAGACAUUUUCUAAACCUUAUCCAGGAUUAGAAUGCUGUAUGAUGCUCUUAAAAGUCUGUUCAGUUGUGUAAUCGCUACAUAUUCCAGCUGAAUUAACAGCAUAAAUCUUCUUAUUGCCUGCUUCCUACUAACCAUUUGACCAACUAAACUACUUAAAGGUUUCCUGCUUAGUAAUUGAGCACUGAUGGGUUGCAAGGGCUACAUUUCAGGAAUCUGUUUCUUAACUGUGUCCAUCAGUGUACACAGAAAACUGCAAAUUCAAGCCAUAAGCAUGGAGUUAAAGACAUUUAUAUACUGAUUACUGCAGAGAACAAUGAUACAAAUAUAAGUAGCAAUGAAGGACAAAUACAUUUUAGCAAGUGUAGUGCACAGUGUACAUUAAAUGAACCUACAGUAGGAGAAAUGUAGCAAGCUAAGCUACACCAAUAUGGCAAAAUUAGUUACUAAAACAGAAUCAACUUUUUUAUUCGACUUUUUUUGUUCAAUUUUAUCAAUUUCCCAUUUACAGACUUUGUAAAACAUGUCGCUAGCUGGCAGUUAGACAGAAAUGCUUCAGAAAUCAUGGUGGAAAUGUAGGUUUUGUGGACGCUAACACUACUUGAUCAAAGAGCUGCACUUCUGAAAAGCUAUUUGAUUUAGAAAAUAGCAGGUGCUUAAAGAAAUUCAGUUAAACUAGUAAGCUAAUGUAUCUACUUGUAGCAAUGUUGCCGCCCAGCACUGAAAAACAGCAUGUUGAGGCGUUUAACAUAGAGCCAGGCUAGUUUUUUUUUUUUUUUUUAAAUUAUGUUUCCAGUAUCUAUGCUAAGCUAAACUAGCAACCUGCUGACUGUAGCUUCAUAUUGACCAGACACAUUUUAGAGUUAAUAUCAGCGCUGUCAAAUCUCUCUAUAAGGAGGGGAAUAAGUAUGUUUUCCCAAAUGACAAACUACACAAAGUCAUCUACACUUACUUGCGCAUACAAAGUGCCAGACAUAUUAUCUUAUUGCUCUGUUAAAUGUGGAUUGUCCAGACUGCUGAAUGCAGCAUAAACAGUCCAGUGAUCUUUUCUAAUGAAUGAGAUGGACGUGAGCAUGAUGGUUUGCAGUGAUUAAUAGACUGUCAAUGUAAAAUCAGCUCUGCUUCAUGUGUUUGCCACUUUAACACAGUAUGCUGCUGAGCAUCCAAAGAGGGAAAACAUGUCGUAAAAUAAUGCCAGCUGAUAUUACAGCUGCACAUGCUGCUUUGUAUCAUGUUUUGGCUUUUGUCAAGACCUUAGUUUUUUUUUUUAACCCUCUAAGGAAUAUUCAAAUGAUAUAAAACUAGGUUUAUGCUCCAUUCUGUUUUGAGGUUUCCUACCUGCUGCAGGAGCUACAGUUUCACAGAAAAGGUUUUACAAAAUGAUUUGGGUUCAAAACUUGCAGAGCAGUAACUUACUGUCCUCUUAAACCCAGUUUUCAUUUCAUAGUUUCUGAUGGUGACUCUCAGCAGUGCCAUAGAUAGCUAUCCUGGGAUUUUUGUCACUAAAACCUAUAGAAUCAGUCUGAAAACCUUCAGUCAGUGGAUGAUACGGUGAUUAGGUUGUAAUUACAGCAAUAAGAGUGAAUUAAUUGCUGGAAUUGGAAGGUGUAACGUAAUCUUAUCCACAAUACGUAAGGUUUGAGGUUGUGUGGUUCUGUUAGACGAUGAUGUAUUUAUUUUGUUAACAGUUUCUUCUGUUUUCUGCAUGAUAAUGUCAUUUGAACAAAGACUGCAACACAUUUUUGAGUUAUAUUUCACACAGUUUUAAUUCUCUUCCACAUAAAGAUCACCCUCCAGUGUAAAAUACAACCAACAACAGUCACUCAGAUGCUGUACAAAGACUGUAGAUAAUUUCAUUUGUUGCACUCUGGAGACUUAACACUUCGUUAGGUCUCACGCUGAAAGACAAAUUCAUACAGUGGUUUGUGCAGAAAAUGGAAUUUAUUUUAAUUAGAAAGGAUAUUUUUGUGUUGUUGUAGUUCAUCAGGCUGUAAUGUGGGCAGUAAUUUUAACUAUGUUCCAUUAAGAGACAGUAUGAACUACCUGUUCAUGUAUUAUAAAGCAGAGGUGUGUGAUGCAGUCACAUGAUAAAUCAGGAAGCCCAAGUCGGUCACAUUUCAGGAGCCAGUUAAAGGUCAUAAGUGACACUUCAGGCUGCUGAAACAUCACUCGAGGGACAAUACUGAAAAUGUCUGCUGUGUAAGAUGUAGAAUAUGUUCACCACAAUGCAGUUUUAGUGUCAUAAUUUGAAUAAAUAUUUGCAGAUAUUUGUGAGAGUGUUACUGUGUCUUUAUAUAUCUGGAAUAAUUCAUAUGGAAAGAAAUUUGUUGUGGGGGUGCAAAAGGAGGUUUAGUCUAGUCAUAUAUAGGUCUUGUACAUACAGUGCACCUACGAGUUCUCAGAUUUUCUCGUAAUGUUUGGAUUCACAGG
This is a long non-coding RNA of Amphiprion ocellaris (clown anemonefish), 6264 nucleotides long. Lineage: Eukaryota; Metazoa; Chordata; Actinopteri; Pomacentridae. The record is from Ensembl.